RNAcentral lists this non-coding RNA (22 nucleotides) under Arabidopsis thaliana (thale cress). The record is from RNAcentral. Lineage: Eukaryota; Viridiplantae; Streptophyta; Magnoliopsida; Brassicales; Brassicaceae.
AAGUAAGAUCAGAAGAAGCAGA